Molecule: unclassified non-coding RNA, 177 nt
Filed under: uncultured Prochlorococcus sp.
Lineage: Bacteria; Bacillati; Cyanobacteriota; Cyanophyceae; Synechococcales; Prochlorococcaceae
Description: partial 16S-23S ribosomal RNA intergenic spacer
Source: RNAcentral
UGUUUAAUGUGACUUAGAGUUGUUCGUCUGAAUGAACCUAGCUUCCUAUCAUUCCUUUCUUUUAGGCCGAUAAGACGCUGGGCUCAACUAAUAUUCUUCAGAUUAUUAGUUUGAUUCAGCAGAACCUUGACAACUGCAUAGGAAAAGUCUGGAAAGAAUAAAGCAUCUCAUAGAUGC